Molecule: long non-coding RNA, 5435 nt
Organism: Macaca mulatta (Rhesus monkey)
Lineage: Eukaryota; Metazoa; Chordata; Mammalia; Primates; Cercopithecidae
Source: RefSeq, a predicted model, not a curated record
UGGAGCUUUCUGGGUGGGAAAGAAGGACGUGGCAAAAGCAGCCGAAGGAUUCAGGGUUAACACUUUGCCUUUUGAAGAUAUUUCAGUUCUUGGAGGGCUUCCAGUCUGAAUUUGGGGAAUUCAUCAACAGGAAAACAAAUAGCUGGCAGGCUCUGUAUUUACUCUGCCCUUCUCAAGGUUGCGACAUAAAUCUCCCAACUUGGAAAGCAUUAAGGCCCAGGAGACAUUUUGUGAGUUCAGGGACUCUCCUCCAGUCUGCAGGAACCACAUCUACCCUCAUUUCGGGAAAACACAGGCACCAGCCCUCAAGGUGCUGCUGGAGACAGUACUGACACUGUUUGACUCGCUUGGGGCAGACUGGGGAAAUGAGAGCUGGAAAACUUGAGUUCUCCAAGUGAGAGCUGUUGGUCUGCUUUGGAAAAAACCCACUUACGCCAGGAGAAUGAAAGCCCUGAGAAGUUCUCAUUGGACAAGGGCCAAGUCCUGGGCUAGGCUGUGGAAGUCCAGAGAAGAACAUCAUUGCUGACCUCAAGAAGCUAAGGCUCUGCAAGGGGAGACAGGGGAGUAAACAGCUGCCAUGGAAGGUGCCAAGUGCUAUGGCAGGCAUGUGACCGGCAGGAUAUGAGGAUUCACCUUCAACUCUGUGUGCUUGUUGUGGGGAGAGCCCAACGUGAAGGGUAAAGAAAAAGCGGGGAAACUGCCAGAAGAGGCUUCCUACAGUGCCUGGGGCCUGAGCUCAGGCGUGGAGGACACAGUGGAGCUGGCCAGGCUGAGAUGGCACAAUCUGGAUUCUCUGACUUGAUGACUGGGGAAUGCUGGUUCCACAUCUGCACUGAGAUACUUACGAUAAGGGUAAACAAAAAUCCCCUAAACAGGGCAUGAGAUGGUACCAGGAGUGAAAAGGCACCACCCUGUUUGCCCAAGAAAGACCAAACCCCAAUAAUUGGGAAACACCACCAUUCCUUCCCCUAAAGCCAAGGCUCCUCCAUGCGAAGGGGAGGAUGGUAAGGCCCCCUGUGUGUGCUACACAUGGUCCUGGCAGAGAGUGCUGUGGCCAUCCCUCGCCCUUCCCCGGGGCCCGGCCUUCACACUGUCCGGGUUCUGUUUAGCAGGGCAGCCCCAUCUACUUGCAGUUCACCAGUCAAACGCAGCAGCACAGACCAGUUCCCCUCCACCUGCCUGCCACCCACACCGACAGGAGAUGAGAUGGGAAAUAAUGGGCCUUCCUCUCGCCUCCCACAUGAGCAUUUGAGUUAAUUCGUAUCUGGGCCUCAUGACUCAACAUAUUAUUUUGUGCAUUUGCUUUAUCACAGACUAGUGGUUCUAAUAAAAUUAGUACUAUUCCACAUUAUUGGUUCAAAAUUAGAAUUAUAUGCACAAAAUAGAUACAAUCUCACCCAGUCUUCUAGGGCUAAGCCAUGGAACUGACUGCAAAAUUUCUUCUUUUUUUUUUCACCUCUGUAGUUUCAUUUUCAGGUUGUUUUCAGCCCUUAAAAGAACAAGACCUAUUUCAACUGGAUUUUCCUACUGUUCUUAGGUAAGGUGAGCAUCUAAUUCAGUACCCAAACUGGGACACUCAUGAAAGUGAAAGGCAGGCUAUUAAUAGUUAAGCAAGGACAAUAGCAUAUGCCAGAGCUGCCACAGGCAAACUGUGACAGGUGGUCACCCUAUUUUUAGGGGCAGGCUGACCCUCUUCAAUAGUCAUGAAUUAGUCUUACUAAGCAAUGCUACUUUUUCUGAUGGCUUUAAAAAAAAAACAUUAAUUUGGGGCAAUCAUCUCAACAAAUUUGAGAAAUUAAAAGGAGAAGCAAAGAUAUAUUUACAUCCAGACAUAUGUGAUUGCUUGGGACUUCCUUUGACACGAAACUUGCAAAGUAUAAGGGGAAAUCUGGGCUGGCAUUUCUCUAUGCUUGUGACCUGGACCAAAAUAUGAAAAUGUACUUAUUUUAACCCAAGGCACUGGAAACGUUGUACAAGAGCACUAGAGUCUCUCUUCAUUCCACAAAAGUCAGAUUUGAGCAAAUGGAAAGUUCACCCUUUGGCUUGAAGACGGAAUGUACAUCAGUAAAUAUGAGACUGUUUUUCUAGGAAAUAACGCUUAUUUAGAAACAUCCAGGUGUUAUCCAGAGAGCCUGACCUUGACUCCAGGUUGAUUCAGGUGAAACUGGCUGUCUAGUAUUCCUGCCUUCAACUCUGCCACCUGCCAUCCAUUCCGCACUCUCCUCUAGCCAAGGAAUAAUUUUCCAUAUGAAAGCAUGAGAUAUUUUGCUUUCAGUUUUGCUGGUGAUCCUGAAACACGUGAACCUGAGGCAAAAAAAAGUAAAGUGCUGUACCUUUGGUCCUUAAAGCAGCAGUGAUUUCUCCAAAUGGGAGGGCUGCAUCUAAAAGCAUGCCACAGUCUCCCCACUACCAUGGCACAGGUUUGCGUGAAGACCCACUGUGAUAAUAUACAGGAUGGGCUAGACUUUGCUAACUGUAAAACACCACAACAAUGUGAGUUAUUUUUCUUGUUUGAGUGUUUCCUGGAUGGAGUUGAAAUAUUUUGACAAUCACAGAUUGAACUGUAGAUAUCUCGCCCCGUGGAUGAUGAAUUGUGUUUUAACAAGGCGAUGCUCCACUGAGUUGUAGGUUACAUAUUUCUCUGUCAGCAGCAGCCCACACUGAGCAAGGUAGACAGUGGUCUCGAGUUAGGACAUGUGUGGAGUCCCGGUGAGCUCUAGAGAAUAAAUGACUGCUAAGAAGGAAGAAAACGAGAUGGUGGGAAGGAAAAAAAGAAGGAGGGAGAGAGUGGUGGGGGAAGAAGGGAGGUACAGGGAGGGAGGGGAAAAAGAAAGGAAGAAAAAGGAAAAAAAAGAAAAAGAAAUGAAAGGUUCGGCAAGAACUCAUGAUGGUUUCAACAGCACAAUUUGCAAUUCAUCCUAAGGGAGCUGGGGUACACACCCGCCCAUGACCAUCCAAGGGAAAAUCUCACUAGAAUGAGGUCAUCUUUCCCCUCCAAACAACCAAGACAGAAAAUGGCAGGUGAAUUGGAAUUGCACUCCCACCUUGCAAUGUGUGGAUGAGAUUUGAUUUCUCUCCAUCAUGUGUGUGGUGGACCUCGGGCACCCAAGGCUGGCGUCCACACUGACGUAGACUGAAGACCCCAAUAGGAAGAUGGCUGAGACCUGGGAGCUGGGCGCCUCCUGCAAGGAACUGCUGAUAAAAAAAAACCUUUGUCAGGGCACAGGUGAUCAUCUUUUAUCAAAAUUGUUGUCCCUCCUAUCUCAUAACAAGGCUGCCCGUGUUGUGUGUGCGUGCAUGUGGAGGGUGCGUGCGUGCUGCUGAGCGGGUGCAUGCCUCCGUGUGUGUUUGAUGUCUCAUCUGGUGUGAUUAAGGGAGAAAAGGGGUGGGGGGACUGUUCUUUGUUUAUUUUGCAGAUAAAUCUCAUCUUUAAUCCGGAUGCACAGCAAUGUCUUGUGCAAAGGAAAGGAAGCCCCCUACGCCACCCCCUGACAUCCAUAUAAAUCACAGGUUUUAUUCCUCUGCUGUGAGGGGGCACUGCGGAAUGGAGCAACGUUGCAGACUCUCAUUGGGUGAUGCUUCAUUACUUGGUGGAAAAUCCCCAGGGCCAAAACGUUAUUUAAAUGUGCUAUGAAAAUAAAUGUGAUUUAUAUAUGUGUCGUCUGCUGAGACGUUCUUCUCUGUUGCUGCAGGUGCUGUCGUGCAUCAGGAUUAGCGCCUCAAUUUAUCGCCGGUUCAAGCUGCACACAUGCUCCGUGACAGGGUGUCCUCCGCAUCCCCGAAAGUUCCAGGAAGGAGACGGUGUUUGCUGAGUGGUGGGCUUUAGAUAUUUAGCAGUGUGGUUGGCUUUUAUGGGCUGAGAAUGUGUGUGUGUGUGAGCGUGUGCGUGCUCAUGCAUGCUGGUGUUGAGCCUGGGCCAUGGUUUUGUUUGAAAGGUGCAGGGAACAGACACUUUGUACUCAGAUGCAUCAAUUUCCAAUGGCAGCAGAAUGCUGUUUCUGGUUGAAAGAGAAAGAAGAAAGCGAAAUCUUCAUUUCAGCUUAGGACUGGGGCCCACAUGUUUAGCUCAAAGUGAGUGGAAAUCUCUGAAAAGCAGGUUUGGGCUAAUGAAUGUCAGCAGGCCUUCAAUGUAAAUGGGAUUUGAGUAGCCGAAAGGAGUGUUGUUGCGAUGUUUCCAAUACCAAAGAAAGAUAUAGAGGGGCAAGCCUUGUCUUAAGAGGAUGAAGAAGGUCCCUCCAGCUGCCCAAGUAGAGCCUUUUCCAGUGGGCUUUCAGACACUCAGAAAACAUGGCUCCUACCGCAUGCCACGGGGCACGAGACCAUUGCUCCAGACAAGUAAACCUGAGGUGGGGGGAGGUGGCAAAGCUGCAAACAGACACCACGAAUGCGAUAUUCUACAAUACAGAACAUGCCACAUCAGUCCUCACCACAGACUUGCCUCUGUGCCCCUCAUUUUAAGGAUGACAAAACUGAGGACCACAGAGGUCAGUAUCUCAGAGUCUGGAACUCUUCAUCCCUGGAGAAUCCAGGUCUUCUGCUUCUAGAAUCCUUCUUUGGGCAUUCUUUAAACUGGUAGCAACUCGUGUCUUGCCAGUCUUGUCUCUGGCUCCCCUACUCUGUUUUUCUUCAAGAUUAAGGGUUUAAAUGAUAUCUAAAGUAGGACCUACCUAGAAAAAAGACCUACAUACAAUUACUUUCAGAUUAAUGUGGGGAAGCAAACAAAGGAACUUAUGAAUAUAUUCUAUUAGGCUGUUAUUUUAAAUAAGCAACGGUCACUCUGGAGCCCUAAUGGGAAACCUUAAAAAAAACCUUUUUAUUUUGAAAUAAUUUCAAAUCCAUAUAAAAAUUUCAAAAAUAGUGCCAAGAGUUCCUGUACAUUUUUCUUCAGCUUCCAUGUUUGCUUUAUCAUUCUGUGUGUGUGUAUGUGUGUGUGUAUUUCUUUUCUGAAUGGCUUCGGGAUACACUAUACACAUUCUACCCCUUUACCCCUAAAUACAUCAGUACACAUUUCCUAAAUUCAUUUACACAACCACAGUACAGUUAUCAAAUCCAAGAAAUCAACAUUGCUAUAGUAUUAUUAUCUAAUUUAUAGACCUUGUUUGAACUUCAGUAAAUGUCCUACUAAUGUCCUUUCUAGCAAAAAAAAAAAAAAAAAGGAGAAAAAGAAAAAGUUUGUUUUCCACUUACUUUGGGAUUGUGUGAAACUCGUGUCUCAUUUAUGGGGACUUAUGUGAGAGGGUUAAGUGUGCUAAAGUUUUAGGCUGUUAAACUAAAAACUAAACCUUACCUUAAAAAUAUACAUAUGUUAUAUCUAUAGUAUCUUCACCUUGAUAAUUCUUCUUUGAUAAUUAUGAUUAAAUGUCCAUAAUAGGAAAAUUCAAAACCUUUAUAUCUGUGAACCAAAAAAUAAAACCAGAUUCUGCAUUCCUCGUGCA